This is a long non-coding RNA of Daphnia magna, 1630 nucleotides long. RefSeq lists it as uncharacterized. The transcript is spliced from 6 exons. Lineage: Eukaryota; Metazoa; Arthropoda; Branchiopoda; Diplostraca; Daphniidae. The record is from RefSeq and is a predicted model, not a curated record.
CUUCGAGACCGUCUCGCGGAGACCAAGUUGAAAUCGAAACACCCAUCCUACCAUCUACCAACUAAGGAAAGAAAAAGUCCAAGUUCGGGCACUAGAUGGCCAAGGAUAGCAUAAAAGAAAAGGAGGGAAAAGAAAGAAAAAGUAAAUGGCGGUAAAAGGUGCCAAAGGGCCAAAGCCAUACACCACUCGAUAAAUUACAACAUGAAAAUCAAGCAAAAUCUUUCUAGAUAACUGCAAAUUACAUUUUCUUGUACAGACAAUUUCCAACCACUCCCGUUAUUAGUUUGUUCAAAGACCCAAACUUUCCGAAUGCUACAAAAAACCCACUAGCUUAUGGUUUAUAAUGCCUCUUGUGAUAUGUGGCGAGCCAGCCUUAACUUGAGGUCGUCUAAUCACGACGUCUUUGCAAGAGAGCAUAAAACUACCCGUGAUUACGCCCUCGAGGGGGCAACAGUCGGUUGGCAACAAUCCCUUUCAGACUAAUAAUUAAAGUCUUAAUUUGAGCGUGAAACUACGCUGUAGAAAACUGUGCUUUGGGUGUACACGUUUUUCUACUUGCCGACUUCUAGCGUGUGACAUCCUGAAAGAAUAACCGUUAAAAAGCCCAAGUUCUGUCAUGCAAAACGGUCAUGAACGAUUGGAGUCAAAAGGCAUAUAAAAUACUGUUACUCGAAAUACCUGUCAACUUCGAAAUGUCUUGGAUGUUGGAUCAUUUUUUUCCCGUCAAUUUAUUUUCUCAAAACGUCGACCGAUCCUUUUCUCCUCUAGAUGUCCUUGACUAAAUAUCGUCUGCUGGUCAUUCGGUUUCACACCACGAGGCAAUUGUACUCUUGCUUUCUUUGUCGUUUAUACACAAAAAAAAAAAGAACACAUUUUGGAACGAGUAUGAUGAACCAGUUGAAAAGGUAGUCGUGCAAUAAGGCGUACGGAUACAAAGAUUUGAACGUUUUCCCUAAAACAUUUGCUGUGAUCAAAACUCUCCGAUUAUGAAAUUGAAGAUCUUGCUCCCUGGCAUUCAAAAAGUCACUUUAUUGAGAUUGAAAACCCCAAAAAGAUGUUUAGAAAGUGGCGGAAAUCCUCUUGUGUCAGGUCUGCCAUUGACGUCAUUACGCUGGAAUCGUAAAAGUUUGAAAGAUGCACACUUUCUCCAUCUCUAUAUCAACAAUAUUAUCAUCCAGUUUUCAAGUACACGCAGCGCACGCCCUGAUGGAGUGACGCAGAGAACCAAAAGGGACGCACGAGGACGCCGUACAAUGACCGAUACGCUUGCUACACGUCUACGUGACCCCAAUAGUCCAGGAGUAGUAGGCACCUAGUUAUUAGUUUCUGCAGGUAGCAGGUGUACUAAUUACGUGGCAAAUGGAUUAUACAUAGACAGCCAACAACAGCUUUCCUUUUUUGGGGUAACAUAUGAUGCCCCACUAUAGCGUGCGCACAUCAGGGAAGCAUGACAUAAACUCGAGUUUAGUGGCCUACAUUCCGAUACUGCUCUUAAACACACUGGCAAAACCUGUUUUUCCAGCUCAAACUGAUCUGAAAACAACCGUAACGCUUAUUGUUGCCCGAGAUACGUACAGAGCAUCGUCUAGAUUAUUGUUAUAUAUAUAUAUAUAGGUUGCUGUUAUAGAUG